RNAcentral lists this ribosomal RNA (1346 nucleotides) under uncultured bacterium. RNAcentral's name for it is "bacterial SSU rRNA". It matches the Rfam family "Bacterial small subunit ribosomal RNA", at positions 28 to 1381 of the family's 1533-position model. The record is from RNAcentral.
GACGAACGCUGGCGGCGUGCUUAACACAUGCAAGUCGAACGGAAAGGCCCUGCUUUUGUGGGGCGCUCGAGUGGCGAACGGGUGAGUAACACGUGAGUAACCUGCCCUUGACUUUGGGAUAACUUCAGGAAACUGGGGCUAAUACCGGAUAGGAGCUCCUGCUGCAUGGUGGGGGUUGGAAAGUUUCGGCGGUUGGGGAUGGACUCGCGGCUUAUCAGCUUGUUGGUGGGGUAGUGGCUUACCAAGGCUUUGACGGGUAGCCGGCCUGAGAGGGUGACCGGCCACAUUGGGACUGAGAUACGGCCCAGACUCCUACGGGAGGCAGCAGUGGGGAAUAUUGCACAAUGGGCGGAAGCCUGAUGCAGCAACGCCGCGUGCGGGAUGACGGCCUUCGGGUUGUAAACCGCUUUCGCCUGUGACGAAGCGUGAGUGACGGUAAUGGGUAAAGAAGCACCGGCUAACUACGUGCCAGCGGCCGCGGUGAUACGUAGGGUGCGAGCGUUGUCCGGAUUUAUUGGGCGUAAAGGGCUCGUAGGUGGUUGAUCGCGUCGGAAGUGUAAUCUUGGGGCUUAACCCUGAGCGUGCUUUCGAUACGGGUUGACUUGAGGAAGGUAGGGGAGAAUGGAAUUCCUGGUGGAGCGGUGGAAUGCGCAGAUAUCAGGAGGAACACCAGUGGCGAAGGCGGUUCUCUGGGCCUUUCCUGACGCUGAGGAGCGAAAGCGUGGGGAGCGAACAGGCUUAGAUACCCUGGUAGUCCACGCUGUAAACGGUGGGUACUAGGUGUGGGGUCCAUUCCACGGGUUCCGUGCCGUAGCUAACGCUUUAAGUACCCCGCCUGGGGAGUACGGCCGCAAGGCUAAAACUCAAAGGAACUGACGGGGCCCCGCACAAGCGGCGGAGCAUGCGGAUUAAUUCGAUGCAACGCGUAGAACCUUACCUGGGUUUGACAUGGAUCGGGAGCGCCCAGAGAUGGGUGUGCCUCUUUUGGGGUCGGUUCACAGGUGGUGCAUGGCUGUCGUCAGCUCGUGUCGUGAGAUGUUGGGUUAAGUCCCGCAACGAGCGCAACCCUUGUUCACUGUUGCCAGCACGUUAUGGUGGGGACUCAGUGGAGACCGCCGGGGUCAACUCGGAGGAAGGUGGGGAUGACGUCAAGUCAUCAUGCCCCUUAUGUCCAGGGCUUCACGCAUGCUACAAUGGCUGGUACAGAGAGUGGCGAGCCUGUGAGGGUGAGCGAAUCUCGGAAAGCCGGUCUCAGUUCGGAUUGGGGUCUGCAACUCGACCUCAUGAAGUCGGAGUCGCUAGUAAUCGCAGAUCAGCAACGCUGCGGUGAAUACGUUCCCGGGGCU